UCGCCGCCGCAGAAGGAGAG
Molecule: small nuclear RNA, 20 nt
Filed under: Arabidopsis thaliana (thale cress)
Lineage: Eukaryota; Viridiplantae; Streptophyta; Magnoliopsida; Brassicales; Brassicaceae
Description: snRNA_14729
Source: RNAcentral